ACUCAAAUGAAUAGACGGGGGCCCGCACAAGCGGUGGAGCAUGUGGUUUAAUUCGACGCAACGCGAAGAACCUUACCCAGUCUUGACAUGCAUUUGACAUCUGUGGAAACACAGCUUCCCCGAAAGGGGCAUUUGCACAGGUGCUGCAUGGCUGUCGUCAGCUCGUGUCGUGAGAUGUUGGGUUAAGUCCCGCAACGAGCGCAACCCUUGUCCUUAGUUGCUACAGAUAAUGCUGAGCACUCUAGGGAGACUGCCGGUGGUAAACCGGAGGAAGGUGGGGAUGACGUCAAGUCCUCAUGGCCCUUACGACUGGGGCUACACACGUGCUACAAUGGCCGGUACAAAGGGAUGCAAUACCGCGAGGUGGAGCCAAUCCCAAAAAGCCGGUCUCAGUUCGGAUUGCAGUCUGCAACUCGACUGCAUGAAGUCGGAAUCGCUAGUAAUCGCUGAUCAGCAGGCAGCGGUGAAUACGUUCCCGGGCCUUGUACACACCGCCCGU
Molecule: ribosomal RNA, 499 nt
Filed under: uncultured bacterium
Lineage: Bacteria
Description: partial 16S ribosomal RNA
Rfam family: Bacterial small subunit ribosomal RNA
Source: RNAcentral